AGUCGAACGCUUCUUUCCUCCCGAGUGCUUGCACUCAAUUGGAAAGAGGAGUGGCGGACGGGUGAGUAACACGUGGGUAACCUACCCAUCAGAGGGGGAUAACACUUGGAAACAGGUGCUAAUACCGCAUAACAGUUUAUGCCGCAUGGCAUAAGAGUGAAAGGCGCUUUCGGGUGUCGCUGAUGGAUGGACCCGCGGUGCAUUAGCUAGUUGGUGAGGUAACGGCUCACCAAGGCCACGAUGCAUAGCCGACCUGAGAGGGUGAUCGGCCACACUGGGACUGAGACACGGCCCAGACUCCUACGGGAGGCAGCAGUAGGGAAUCUUCGGCAAUGGACGAAAGUCUGACCGAGCAACGCCGCGUGAGUGAAGAAGGUUUUCGGAUCGUAAAACUCUGUUGUUAGAGAAGAACAAGGACGUUAGUAACUGAACGUCCCCUGACGGUAUCUAACCAGAAAGCCACGGCUAACUACGUGCCAGCAGCCGCGGUAAUACGUAGGUGGCAAGCGUUGUCCGGAUUUAUUGGGCGUAAAGCGAGCGCAGGCGGUUUCUUAAGUCUGAUGUGAAAGCCCCCGGCUCAACCGGGGAGGGUCAUUGGAAACUGGGAGACUUGAGUGCAGAAGAGGAGAGUGGAAUUCCAUGUGUAGCGGUGAAAUGCGUAGAUAUAUGGAGGAACACCAGUGGCGAAGGCGGCUCUCUGGUCUGUAACUGACGCUGACGCUCGAAAGCGUGGGAGCAAACAGGAUUAGAUACCCUGGUAGUCCACGCCGUAAACGAUGAGUGCUAAGUGUUGGGAGGGUUUCCGCCCUUCAGUGCUGCAGCAAACGCAUUAAGCACUCCGGCCUGGGGAGUACGA
RNAcentral lists this ribosomal RNA (856 nucleotides) under Enterococcus faecalis. Its description in RNAcentral is "bacterial SSU rRNA". It matches the Rfam family "Bacterial small subunit ribosomal RNA", at positions 60 to 885 of the family's 1533-position model. The record is from RNAcentral. Lineage: Bacteria; Bacillati; Bacillota; Bacilli; Lactobacillales; Enterococcaceae.